This is a small nucleolar RNA of Rhinolophus ferrumequinum (greater horseshoe bat), 104 nucleotides long. The record is from Ensembl. NCBI's taxonomy places the organism in Eukaryota, Metazoa, Chordata, Mammalia, Chiroptera, Rhinolophidae.
AUCAUUUUGUAGUUCAUAAGUGUGAUGAUUGGGUGUCCGAGCUCUUGUGUGAGACGUGCCUCUCUCAAACAUUGUUACGACAUCGGCACGUUACCCAUCUGAUG